RNAcentral lists this transfer RNA (73 nucleotides) under marine sediment metagenome. Its description in RNAcentral is "tRNA-Arg". It matches the Rfam family "tRNA". From Rfam's summary of the family: Transfer RNA (tRNA) molecules are approximately 80 nucleotides in length. Their secondary structure includes four short double-helical elements and three loops (D, anti-codon, and T loops). Further hydrogen bonds mediate the characteristic L-shaped molecular structure. tRNAs have two regions of fundamental functional importance: the anti-codon, which is responsible for specific mRNA codon recognition, and the 3' end, to which the tRNAs corresponding amino acid is attached (by aminoacyl-tRNA synthetases). tRNAs cope with the degeneracy of the genetic code in two manners: having more than one tRNA (with a specific anti-codon) for a particular amino acid; and 'wobble' base-pairing, i.e. permitting non-standard base-pairing at the 3rd anti-codon position. The record is from RNAcentral.
GCUCCUGUGGUGUAAUGGAAAGCAUUCAACGCUUCGAACGUUGCGACGAUGGGUUCGACUCCCUCCAGGAGUA